GGGCCCGCACAAGCGGUGGAGUAUGUGGUUUAAUUCGAUGCAACGCGAAGAACCUUACCAGGGUUUGACAUCCUGCGAAUCUCUUGGAAACGAGAGAGUGCCUUCGGGAGCGCAGUGACAGGUGGUGCAUGGCUGUCGUCAGCUCGUGUCGUGAGAUGUUGGGUUAAGUCCCGCAACGAGCGCAACCCACGUCUUUAGUUGCCAGCAUUUAGUUGGGCACUCUAGAGAGACCGCCGGUGAUAAACCGGAGGAAGGUGUGGAUGACGUCAAGUCAUCAUGCCCCUUACAUCCUGGGCUACACACGUACUACAAUGCUACGGACAAAGAGCAGCAAGUUCGCGAGAGCUAGCAAAUCCCAUAAACCGUGGCUCAGUUCAGAUCGUAGGCUGCAACUCGCCUACGUGAAGGAGGAAUCGCUAGUAAUCGCAGGUC
RNAcentral lists this ribosomal RNA (432 nucleotides) under uncultured bacterium. RNAcentral describes it as "bacterial SSU rRNA". It matches the Rfam family "Bacterial small subunit ribosomal RNA", at positions 917 to 1350 of the family's 1533-position model. The record is from RNAcentral.